This 253-nucleotide ribosomal RNA is filed under the name uncultured bacterium. Its description in RNAcentral is "partial 16S ribosomal RNA". It matches the Rfam family "Bacterial small subunit ribosomal RNA", at positions 524 to 776 of the family's 1533-position model. The record is from RNAcentral.
UACGAAGGGGGCUAGCGUUGUUCGGAAUUACUGGGCGUAAAGCGUGCGCAGGCGGUUUGUUAAGUCCGCUGUGAAAUCCCCGAGCUCAACUUGGGAAUUGCAGUGGAUACUGGCAAGCUGGAGUAUGGUAGAGGAAGGUGGAAUUCCCGGUGUAGCAGUGAAAUGCGUAGAGAUCGGGAGGAACACCAGUGGCGAAGGCGGCCUUCUGGACCAAUACUGACGCUCAUGCACGAAAGCGUGGGGAGCAAACAGG